RNAcentral lists this ribosomal RNA (491 nucleotides) under uncultured bacterium. RNAcentral describes it as "partial 16S ribosomal RNA". It matches the Rfam family "Bacterial small subunit ribosomal RNA", at positions 29 to 506 of the family's 1533-position model. The record is from RNAcentral.
AGUGAACGCUGGCGGUAGACCUAACACAUGCAAGUCGAACGGCAGCACAGUAAGAGCUUGCUCUUACGGGUGGCGAGUGGCGGACGGGUGAGGAAUACAUCGGAAUCUACUUUUUCGUGGGGGAUAACGUAGGGAAACUUACGCUAAUACCGCAUACGACCUACGGGUGAAAGCAGGGGAUCUUCGGACCUUGCGCGAUUGAAUGAGCCGAUGUCGGAUUAGCUAGUUGGCGGGGUAAAGGCCCACCAAGGCGACGAUCCGUAGCUGGUCUGAGAGGAUGAUCAGCCACACUGGAACUGAGACACGGUCCAGACUCCUACGGGAGGCAGCAGUGGGGAAUAUUGGACAGUGGGCGCAAGCCUGAUCCAGCCAUACCGCGUGGGUGAAGAAGGCCUUCGGGUUGUAAAGCCCUUUUGUUGGGAAAGAAAAGCAGCAGGUUAAGACCCCGCUGUUCUGACGGUACCCAAAGAAUAAGCACCGGCUAACUUCGU